This 182-nucleotide ribosomal RNA is filed under the name uncultured bacterium. Its description in RNAcentral is "partial 16S ribosomal RNA". It matches the Rfam family "Bacterial small subunit ribosomal RNA", at positions 1319 to 1500 of the family's 1533-position model. The record is from RNAcentral.
CAUGAAGUCGGAAUUGCUAGUAAUCGCGGAUCAGCAUGCCGCGGUGAAUACGUUCCCGGGCCUUGUACACACCGCCCGUCACACCAUGGGAGUUGGUAACACCCGAAGUCAGUAGCCUAACCGCAAGGAGGGCGCUGCCGAAGGUGGGAUCGAUGACUGGGGUGAAGUCGUAACAAGGUAGC